This is an RNA transcript of Salvia splendens (bonfire salvia), 1023 nucleotides long. RefSeq lists it as uncharacterized. NCBI's taxonomy places the organism in Eukaryota, Viridiplantae, Streptophyta, Magnoliopsida, Lamiales, Lamiaceae. The transcript has 3 exons. The record is from RefSeq and is a predicted model, not a curated record.
CCCACAAUUUUCUCUCUCUUUCUAAAAUUCCUCUGCCAUUGCUCAGCCACGUCAGCACCUUCCUAAAUGCCUGACGUCGACACCUGAUUUCUCCAUCCUUACGUUUCGCCCUAUCAUAGCUCCACGUCUCUCUCUCUUAAUCUCUCAAUUCUCUCCGUCGAAUUCCUCCCAAUUCUGUAGAAUCACUGGUGCCAACCAAAACUGUGCGCUCUUCUUUCGAUUUCAGUCUUCUCAGUCGGUUAUGUCGGAGUCCGGAGGUGAAGAAUCCAGCCAACCAGGUAAGCGGAAGGUCAAGGCCGAUGAAAUCGGCGGUGAGGAGCUUCAGCUUGCGGCGGAGGACCCGCUGCUCGUCUUCGGUUCGGAAAUCAUGACGAUUAUUCUCGCCAAGCUCGACUUGCGUAGCGUCGCGGAAGCUCGUCUGGUUUCUCGCGGCUGGCAGGCCAUUGCUUCUGCCGACAGAAUUUGGGGUCCCAAGAUAGAUCAAGGUGAGUGAGAAGUGUUCGAACGAAUUAUAAGGCUUUUCAUCGAAUGCACUUAUGACACACUCUUGUGUGUCGGUUCAUAAUCCUGAUCCAUAUUGUCAAACUGCAUAACACGAGUUUAAAGAAAGGAUUUAUUUCUCAUAUUUAGAUCGAGUCCAAACUUUAUCUGGUUCUAUGAGUCGUGGAAAUCUACCAUCUUCGAAAUUGGGUAUUGCCAACCAUGGGGGACUAACUGCCAAUUCAAACUGGAGAAAAGAUGGUAAUAAAGAAUCAUUUGUUUCCUCAAGCUCAUUAAUGAUCCAGAUUCUUCCUUUACUUUAACCGGAGGCUGGUGUUCUUUGAUGCUGUGUACACGAAAGGGGCUGGCCGUUAAAAGACUGCGUUGUAAAACGCGAUCACAGUUAAUUUCUUAAAUUUAUGUUUGUUUGAAGUAGUCGAUCUAAUUUCUUAGAUGAGACAACUUGACUUGUUUGUGGUUUGACUUGUGAAGGUGUAGAGACAUUUUAUUGUCAUGUAAUAGUAAUACAUAUGUCAAGUUAAA